RNAcentral lists this ribosomal RNA (516 nucleotides) under uncultured eukaryote. RNAcentral describes it as "SSU rRNA". It matches the Rfam family "Eukaryotic small subunit ribosomal RNA", at positions 660 to 1177 of the family's 1831-position model. The record is from RNAcentral.
UCGCUUUACUGAGUGAACUUUGUGGCGCAUUCUUCUAUUUGGUUGGUGUGUUUGUGCUCUUAAUUGAGUGCAUCAUUCUACCAGAAAUUUUACCUUGAAAAAAUUAGAGUGUUCAAAGCAGACCUUUUUGUGUCUGAAUAAUUCGUGCAUGGAAUAAUAAAAUAUGAAUUCGGUUCUAUUUUAUUGGUUUUCGGAACUCGAGUUAAUGAUUAAGAGGGACAGACGGGGGCAUCCGUACUCUGCCGUUAGAGGUGAAAUUCUUGGAUCGGCGGAAGACGCGCAACUGCGAAAGCAUUUGCCAAGAAUGUUUUCUUUAAUCAAGAACGAUAGUCGGAGGUUCGAAGACGAUCAGAUACCGUCCUAGUUUCGACUGUAAACUAUGCCAGCUAACGAUCAGACAGCGUUCUCUACGACUUGUCUGGCAGUUUCCGGGAAACCAAAGCUUUUGGGUUCCGGGGGGAGUAUGGUUGCAAAGCUGAAACUUAAAGGAAUUGACGGAAGGGCACCACCAGGAGU